RNAcentral lists this ribosomal RNA (727 nucleotides) under Pseudomonas sp. S2ID13. Its description in RNAcentral is "bacterial SSU rRNA". It matches the Rfam family "Bacterial small subunit ribosomal RNA", at positions 49 to 771 of the family's 1533-position model. The record is from RNAcentral. Lineage: Bacteria; Pseudomonadati; Pseudomonadota; Gammaproteobacteria; Pseudomonadales; Pseudomonadaceae.
UAACACAUGCAAGUCGAGCGGUAGAGAGAAGCUUGCUUCUCUUGAGAGCGGCGGACGGGUGAGUAAUGCCUAGGAAUCUGCCUGGUAGUGGGGGAUAACGUUCGGAAACGGACGCUAAUACCGCAUACGUCCUACGGGAGAAAGCAGGGGACCUUCGGGCCUUGCGCUAUCAGAUGAGCCUAGGUCGGAUUAGCUAGUUGGUGAGGUAAUGGCUCACCAAGGCGACGAUCCGUAACUGGUCUGAGAGGAUGAUCAGUCACACUGGAACUGAGACACGGUCCAGACUCCUACGGGAGGCAGCAGUGGGGAAUAUUGGACAAUGGGCGAAAGCCUGAUCCAGCCAUGCCGCGUGUGUGAAGAAGGUCUUCGGAUUGUAAAGCACUUUAAGUUGGGAGGAAGGGUUGUAGAUUAAUACUCUGCAAUUUUGACGUUACCGACAGAAUAAGCACCGGCUAACUCUGUGCCAGCAGCCGCGGUAAUACAGAGGGUGCAAGCGUUAAUCGGAAUUACUGGGCGUAAAGCGCGCGUAGGUGGUUUGUUAAGUUGGAUGUGAAAUCCCCGGGCUCAACCUGGGAACUGCAUUCAAAACUGACUGACUAGAGUAUGGUAGAGGGUGGUGGAAUUUCCUGUGUAGCGGUGAAAUGCGUAGAUAUAGGAAGGAACACCAGUGGCGAAGGCGACCACCUGGACUAAUACUGACACUGAGGUGCGAAAGCGUGGGGAGCAA